CCUACGGGGGGCAGCAGUGAGGAAUAUUGGUCAAUGGGCUUACGCCUGAACCAGCCAAGUCGCGUGAGGGAAGACUGCCCUAUGGGUUGUAAACCUCUUUUGUCAGGGAGCAAUUGGCGCUACGUGUAGCGUUAUCGAGAGUACCUGAAGAAAAAGCAUCGGCCAACUCCGUGCCAGCAGCCGCGGUAAUACGGAGGAUGCGAGCGUUAUCCGGAUUUAUUGGGUUUAAAGGGUGCGUAGGCGGAAUGCCAAGUCAGCGGGAAAAUCGCGGGGCUCAACCUCGCUCCGCCGUUGAAACUGGCGUUCUUGAGUGGGCGAGAAGUAUGCGGAAUGCGUGGUGUAGCGGUGAAAUGCAUAGAUAUCACGCAGAACUCCGAUUGCGAAGGCAGCAUACCGGCGCCCGACUGACGCUGAGGCACGAAAGCGUGGGGAUCGAACAGGAUUAGAUACCCCGGUAGUC
Molecule: ribosomal RNA, 460 nt
Filed under: uncultured bacterium
Lineage: Bacteria
Description: partial 16S ribosomal RNA
Rfam family: Bacterial small subunit ribosomal RNA
Source: RNAcentral